UUUGCACACAGUUAGAACUCUGAGCUGAGACCAAUCUGGUCUGUGAACUCUUGAGUGUAGGAUGUGUGCUACAGUGAUAUGGCAGGUUUUUCGCCAACACCACAAGUAGCCCUAAUGCUUCAGUGAGUGGUGUUGGAUAGUAACUUUGCCACAGCC
Molecule: small nucleolar RNA, 156 nt
Organism: Spea bombifrons (plains spadefoot toad)
Lineage: Eukaryota; Metazoa; Chordata; Amphibia; Anura; Pelobatidae
Source: RefSeq, a predicted model, not a curated record